This 487-nucleotide long non-coding RNA is filed under the name Carica papaya (papaya). RNAcentral's name for it is "long non-coding RNA (CPAP_LNC011028)". The record is from RNAcentral. Lineage: Eukaryota; Viridiplantae; Streptophyta; Magnoliopsida; Brassicales; Caricaceae.
UUCAACUACUAAGGGGUCAGGACCACCUUCAAAAUGUGGUAGGUUAAGCUUCUUAAACUCUGCUAUGUCGUGGGAAAUGGACUUUUCAGUCAUUCGGUAUUCUAGGGCAGGAGGUGGACAACAAUUGGAUUGAUUUUAUCCUAUAAUUGCAACAAUCCUUCGAUGGCUUGGAAGAGUUAAGCAAAUUCAACACUGGUUGGAUGAUCUAGGGCUUCGAAUCACUCCGUACACUCUACAGAUGGUCUUCCUCAUGUCAUUCCUACAAAAGAAAGGAAGGCACGAGUUGGUGGUCUAAUUUUUUAAAAGAUGACUUAUUCUUCCUAAGUACACUGAGGGACUUUCUACCUAAGGCCUCAGUAAUAUGGGAUUUAGUCCGCGUAAUCUGCUUUGAUACCAUCUGUGACAUCUCAAAUGCUAAUUAAGGCAUGUGGGUAUUAAAUACAGAAACAGAGUUACGAGUGUAUGAUAAAAAUUAUAUGCAAUAGAG